GAAUCAUGUUGGGCAGUUGCUCUCUGAAAUUAAAAAUUCAGGGGGAGGAAAGUCCGAACACCACAGAACAAGGUGCCGGGUAACGCCCGGGGGCUUGAAGACGAAAGUCUCAAGCUACGGAAAGUGCCACAGAAAAAAUACCGCCCUGCUGCUGGCGGGGUAAGGGUGAAAAGGCGAGGUAAGAGCUCACCGCUCCGAUAGUAAUAUCGGAGGUCUCGUGAUGAACGAGAUCCUGCAGAAAUGCAGGACACGGCAAACCCCACCUGGUGCAAGGUCAAGCAGAAGGACUCCCGCUACGGCGGGAAAAGGUUGUUCGCCUUUCAGUUCCUUCGGGUAGACCGCUAGACCACGAUAGUAAUAUCGUGGCUAGAUAAAUAACUGCCGCUCGCCUAUGGCGAGUUACAGAAUUCGGCUUAUAGACAUGGUUCAUCA
Molecule: RNase P RNA, 432 nt
Filed under: Melioribacter sp.
Lineage: Bacteria; Pseudomonadati; Ignavibacteriota; Ignavibacteria; Ignavibacteriales; Melioribacteraceae
Also listed under: 1 other name
Description: RNase P RNA component class A
Rfam family: Bacterial RNase P class A
About the family: Ribonuclease P (RNase P) is a ubiquitous endoribonuclease, found in archaea, bacteria and eukarya as well as chloroplasts and mitochondria. Its best characterised activity is the generation of mature 5'-ends of tRNAs by cleaving the 5'-leader elements of precursor-tRNAs.
Source: RNAcentral